This 1350-nucleotide long non-coding RNA is filed under the name Arachis ipaensis. Its description in RNAcentral is "long non-coding RNA (AIPA_LNC001437)". Lineage: Eukaryota; Viridiplantae; Streptophyta; Magnoliopsida; Fabales; Fabaceae. The record is from RNAcentral.
CUUUUAUUACCAUUAAUAAUAAGUCAUAAAAUCUAUGUUCUUAUCCAUCAAAAGCCAUAAAAUAAUAUGAAUUGCAAUAAUAGUAUGAGCGCAUAAGUGGAGGACAAAUAAUGUUUGUGAUUCUAAUAAAUGAAAUAAAAAAUAGAAAAUUUGAACUAUCCUAAACAAAAUAUUAAUGUCUCCUAAAUACAUUUUACACUACAAAAAUUUGCCAAAUUAGCGACGAAUUUUGGCGAGAAAUGUUUUUUGUCACUAAUCCGUCACUAACUUGCGAGGAAUUAGUGACACACUAACGACAAAAUUAAUAAGCGGUCACAAAAUAUCCGAACUUGAGAAAAGCGACUGAUUAGCGAGAGAUUCACGUGUAAGUUUGUUUCUCGCAGAUUGACUUUUGUAGCUAAAAAAAGAGCGGAAAAAAUUUCCUCUCUAAUUUGUCACAAAUUAAUUAGCGAGUGACAGUGUUCUAGCAAAUCAGUCACUUAGCGGUUCAAUCGAAUAAAACUAAAGUAGUGAGUGAUAUUAUUGUCACUAUUCCAUCGCAAGUGUUUGAUAUACAAUUAGCGAGAAACAAUUUACACACCAGUUCGUCGCUAAAUAAACUUUGUUCGAAAAGACUAAUUAGUGAAGAACAAUGUUACUAGCUAAUCCGUCACAAAGACUUGAAAUGCAUUUUGUGAUGGACAAAUUCCUAGCUAAUUUGUCAUCAAAGUUUUUAUUUUUAGCGAGCAACUAAUUUCUCGCUAAUUUGUCGCAUAAUAUAGUAAAAAUUCAAAAUUAGGGUAGCGACAGAAAACAGUUGUCGCUAACUCGUCGCAAUAGAUAAAUUAUUCAGCUAAGGAAGUGUUCCUUGCUAAUUAGUCGCUAAAGUGGAAAUACGGAUAUUGAGUGCCUAGGAUCUAAGUAGCGAGAAAUUUGCGACCGUUUAACCAUUGACACACUUCAUUCGCUGAUUUCAAGUCGCUGCAGGAGAAAUACAUUUGUCGCUAAGUUGUCGCAAGUUUAAUUUAGCGAGUGACUUGGCAACAGCAAUAUUGUCGCAAAGCAAAAGCUAUAUCCUACCUAUUUUGUAGCAAAUUACUCGCUAAUCUCGUUGGAAAUCCGUCGCAGAGUUAUAACAAAUCCAAAACUCACAGAGAAAAUGUUAGAAGUAACUGGUCGCAAUUGAGUCACUAAUCAAAAGCUUAUUUAGUGAGGAAUUAGCGACCGCUUGACAACUGAUAGAUUUUCCUCACUUAUUUCAUGUUGCUACUAAUUUAUGAGGAAACAUGUUAGUCCUUAUUCUAUCACUAUUUUAAGUAGCGGCUCACGUACCUGUUCAGCCGCUUUUUUGAAUGUAUAAUUUACUUCAAA